Dioscorea cayenensis subsp. rotundata (Guinea yam) is the source of this 279-nucleotide long non-coding RNA. RefSeq lists it as uncharacterized. Lineage: Eukaryota; Viridiplantae; Streptophyta; Magnoliopsida; Dioscoreales; Dioscoreaceae. The transcript has 3 exons. The record is from RefSeq and is a predicted model, not a curated record.
UUAAUCUGCAGGAAUGUAACCAUUGGUGAUUAUUUUGGUCAUAUGUUCCAUAGCAGCCUACUGCUUCACUGUGGUAUCCACAUUUCAGUGGCGAGACAAGAUUGAAGCAAGCGUUUGAGAACAUUUCAUACUAUUACAACAUGUGGAUAUUACAAGGACAGAAAUUAUAGGAGUGCAGGCUUUGCUUUAAUUGAUGAUUGCAUUGAAAAUUCCAUGUUCAGUCUCUGGUAAUAGCCAAAAAGAGACAGAAAUUAAACAAACUCUAGCCAUUGAGGAUGA